Molecule: non-coding RNA, 38534 nt
Organism: Rattus norvegicus (Norway rat)
Lineage: Eukaryota; Metazoa; Chordata; Mammalia; Rodentia; Muridae
Source: RefSeq, a predicted model, not a curated record
AAUUUCACAUCAUCGAAACCUAGACAGAAUCCGAUGGCGUUGCCAGGCUUCGGAGUACACGAGGGCCAGCCAAACGCUGUCUACUGAGAAACGGACGACAACUUUGAUCAGGAUGAAGCAGCACAUUGACAGUCAUAGGUUGACCUUCGAGAGCUGGGAGACGCCAAGAGUACCAGGAGGAGUGACCGUGGCCUCGGUUUCUUCUGGUCUCACAGCCCUUUUCACUCUGUAGGCUCAUUCUCCGUUAUCCAUACCCACUGAGCCAUCUCUCCAGCCAUAUUGCAUAUCCUUUCCUGCAGGGCAGUGUGGGGGUAGACACUUGAAUCAGAAGCUAUGCUGAAGCCCCGCCCCUGGCUCCUCCCUCCUCUUUUUCUGUGUUGGAUUCAGGGGCCCCCACAUUCCAGGCUGGUAUUUCUGGCUUUCCUAAAACUCCACGGGCUGCGGUAAUAAAUCACAUCACCAUUACAUAAGCAAUGUUUAAGUCCAGCCAGGAACACACAGCCCAGAGAAGAAGGGUUCUCAAUGUUUUGAUUUUUUUUCUUUUCUUUUGGAAGAAAAAACUUGUUGUUCCCAUCCUGACUGGGGCAGAAAUAAACUCCACUUGGUGUGGAGGUGGGGGAGGACGGUUCCUGACCAACAUGGGUAUUGCUCUGUAUACAGCAAUUACAGUUGUGCCCCUGUGGGAAAGCGCAGUGUGGCUUGCUCUGUGGGCGAGAUAAGCAAGAUGGAUUAGACCAUCCUUCCUCUGCUGGCUCCACAGUCGUUUGGCCAAGUCUGGCUCAGCUGUUGAUACCUCAGUGGAUUGAAAGGUCCACAAAAAGCCUUACCUGAACUAGGGGCGGGUCUGAGCCGACAGAUCGUUUCCACCUGGUGGAAGUUACUGAACGGAUUCUGAGCUCAGUAUCAUUUGUGAAAUCUCUAGCCAUCCAGUCUGAAAGAACAAAAACCCUACAAACUCUCCCCCUUUCCAGUCGUACUGGUAUCUUAGUUAGGCUUUCUACUGCUGUGGCAAGACACCAUGUACAGGCAAGUUGGAAAGGAAAGAGUUUAUUCUGCUUGCACUUCCACAGCACUGUUCAUCAUUGAAUAAAGUCAGGGCAGGAACCUGGAGACGUGGAGGAGCGCGACUUCCUGGCUUGCUCCUAGUGGUUUGCUCAGCCUGCAAACCCAGGGCCACCAGCCCAGGGAUGGAACUACUCACAAUAGGCUGGGCCCUCUCCCAUCAAUCACUAAUUGAGAGAGUGCCCUACAGACUUUCCCUAAAGCUUGAUCUUAUGGAGGUGUGUUCUUAAUUGAGGUUAUCUUCUCUCAGAUAUACUGGCUGGGCCAAGUUGACAUAAAAUCUAGGCAGCACAGGUGGUUUCAGUGAGAAUUUCUCCCAUAGGAUCAUGCCUUUGAGCACACAGUCCUUGGUGGUUGUUGGUAUUUGGAAGGUUUAGGAGAUGUGGCCUUGGAGGGAUUGUCACUGGAUGUAGGACUGGAGAGUUUAAAGACUCAUGCCCCCUUUCCAGUUGCUCUCCUUCAUGCUCGCCUUCUGAGAUGUGGGCUGUCACCUUCCUGCUUCUCUUGCCCUAUUUACUGCUCAAUGCCAUUCCCCUCCAUCAUUAUGGAUGCUACCCCUCUGGAAUCAUAAGCCUAAAUAAACUUUGUAAAAAUGUAAAUUGCUUUGGUCUUGGUGUUUUAUCAUAGCAACAUAAAGGUAACUAAUACACCAUUAUUCCCUUGGCAAAGGAGUCAGGAACUCUAAUAUUAAAACUACCUUUCUCCCCAUUGCAUAGUGGCCCACGCCUAUAGUUCCCAGCACUGCCACUGCAGAGGCUGGAGGAUUCCUGCCUUAAGGUCGGUCUGGGAUAAUAGCAGGACUUGGUCUCAUACAGCCAAGGGCGGGGGGGGGGGGAGGCAGCUUAGUAGCAGAGCAUUGACCUACCAUGCACAAGGCCCUGGGUUCCCAUCCUCAUCACCACAAAACAACCAACCAAUUAAGCAAUACCUCUCAUUGGUCAUUUUCCCUGCCAAGCCUGCAGGCCUUUCUCCAUUUGGGAACAGUGUGUGUGUGUGUGUGUGUGUGUGUGUGUGUGUGUGUGUGUGUGUGUGUGUUGGGAGUGGGUGGGUUCCCCUUCAGAGACAUCCUAGAUACUAUUUGGCUCUCUUCUGUGACACAGGCAAGCUAAUAUUUCUGUGCUCACCCCCCACCCCCGUUAUUGUUUUAAAAUGGGUUGAUGAGGCUUCUGACACUGUAGGCUGCCGUGAAAACUUAACAAAUGCCAUGGAAACACUGGUGACUAACCAGGGCAAUAGCAUUUAAAGCAGAGGGAUGAGUAGUUGCAAAAGCCUAUGAAGACACACAACAAACUGUCAAUGGCCUUUUAACAUUAGAGCCGUAGGAUUUAUGAGCUCUAAAAAAAAAAUAAACUCCUCCAUUUGAGCUUUUCUUUAUGUUUAAAAUUUGCACAAUGAACAUACAUCAUUUUUAUAACCCCAAGUUACAAAUGUGAAUUAAAAUUCCACCGAACAUUUAAGGACCAGCUGAAAUGAUACUUUUAUUAAAACUUUCCAGCUUUCCCAUUGGCAGGGAUUCCUCUGAGAAAGUUAUGGAAUCAUGCUGAGCCCUAGCUUGGUUCCCUGUUCAAGGCUAAUGACAGUUGAAUAGAAAAUAUGCAUUCUAUUAUACAUGCAUAUCAAACAUAACGAAGGCCCUGUACUUAAUAAUGGCCCAGUUUAUCAUUUCUGGACUUGGUGUUAAUGCAAAAGUAAUACUCAACGGUACAAUCUGUGCUUUAAACUUUGCAUUUUGGUUCCCCCCCCCCAGGUUAGCAAUCCCUUGAAGGAUACAGUCUCAUGACAUUCUGGACAAGGGCAUGAAGUCAUAGCUUUUAACCAGUUCCAAGACCAAAGGGGUGAAAAACAGGUACUCUGGUGUAUUGUGUUGCCAGCUGGUUUGGGAUGUUACAUUUUGUGUUUUCUUUCCUCCCCCUCCUCCUUCCUCUUCCUCCUCCUUCUUCUGAGUUUUGGGACAAGAUCAAACUCACUGUCCUAGUUUGCCUCCUGUUGCUGUGAUAAAACGUCAUGACCAAAAGCAACUUGGGAGGAAAGGUUUAUUUCAUCCUAUACUUUACAAUGACAGCCUGUUACUGAGGGAAGUCAGUGCAGAAAGUUAAGGCAGGAAUCUGGAGGUAGGAACUUAAGCAGAGGCCACAGAGGAACACUGUUUACUGGAUUGCUUCCUUUAGCUUUAUUAGAUCAAUAAUAUAUAAACAAUAUAUAUAUAUGUAUUAUAUAUGUAAUACAACACAAAUAAAAUAUAAUAAACCAAUAUAGCAUAAAGCCAGUUAGCUUUUUAAUAUAUAUCUGGGUCCGCCUGCCGAGGGAUAGCAUUGAGUACAAUGGGCUCAGAUUUCUUACAUCAGUCAGUAAUCAAGACAGUGCCCCACAGAUACACCCAGGCACCAACAUGGUGGAGACAGUUCCUCAACUGAGACUCCAUCUUUCCGGGUUACGUCUAGGUUUGUGUCAAGUAGACAAAAACUAACCACCGUACUCAUUCCGUAGCUCAAGCUGGUCUUGAACUUAGAGCAUUACAGCUCCUGCCUCUGCAUCUUGAAUGCUGGUAUCACACACAAGUGGCACCAUGAUUUUAUCCUACCACAUCUACAAAAUGCCUGAGCGUAUACAUAAUAGACUCAACACCUUAUCGCAAAAUAAAUUUUGUCUUAUUUGGAGUUUUCCCAGACAAAUAGAUGAUGGUUGGUUAGGCUGAUAUGAUAUUCCACAGGUUAGAUGAACUAAGUGCAUUUCUUAAUAUUUCAACUUCUGAUGGGUUUGCUGGAUAGUAUUUCAUUGCACAUCUGGGAGUAUCCUUAUGUAUUAUAUGUCUUAUGUGUGUGUAUAUAUAUAUAUAUGUAUAUAUAUAUACAGUUGCUAUUUGCAUCAUAAUGGUUCACUUUACCAUUUAUGCACUUUAUGAUAUAAGCAAUUUAUAGCCAUCUGUGAUAUAUCACCUAUCUGUCUGUCUGUCCAUCUAUCCAUCCAUCUUUUAUGCGGACCUGACUAUAUAGCUGUUUCAUAAGCCUGUGUUGACUACAUACACCUGAGAGCAGGAUCUAGGAGCUUUGUGAAGGCGACAGGCAACCAAACCAGCUUGACCACGACUGUGUCGCCAUCCUCAUUGAGGACGUAACUCCUUAGAAUCAAAUGGGGUUUCAAACACUGAGAGCCUCCAGGCUAGUCUCUCCAUCCUCAGGAUCUGCCUCACAGAGGUACGUGUCUGGGAGAGAAAUGGAAAGAGUAUUUUGCAUGGAAGUCCUACAGAACUUGGGGAGCAGGUACUGUCCGACUGUGGUAGCAGUGAAUAGGGAGGUUCUUCUGACACAGGAUGUGCUGAAUUGCUGGUGUCUGCCUCAAGUUGCUGGCCCAUCUAACCCCACAGCCUCCGUGAACAGAGCCAAGCCACCUUCACCAGGCUUUAGAGAAGAAAAUAGCAUCUGAGAGAAGUGAGGAUGAUGAGCAGGGAGCCUCCCUUGAGCCUCCAUCAUGGAUGGAGGACACUACACAGCAAAAGUGGUGAUUUUAACAGACGGAAGUGGGUGGAGCUUGGGUUAUGUUGGUCAUCCUGUCACUCUGAUCUCUUCUUUCCUGAGCUAACAGAGAGAGAGAGAGAGAGAGAGAGAGAGAGAGAGAGAGAGAGGAAGAGAGAGACAUAAACAUGUAUAUGCAUAUGUGCAUGUGUAUGCAUCUGUGUAUGUGUAUGCAUAUGUGUGUGUGUAUACAUACAUGGUGCUUGUCUGGUGGAGAAACAGAAGAAAUCACAAACCAAUCAGGGACAAGGACUUCUGCCUAGCAAAACCACUCAGUAUAAUGUAUCAGAAAUGUAGCAGCGGACAGGAAGGCCCUGUGACACUGGGUGUGCUGAAUUGCUGGUAUCCAAGUCACCAUGAAGUCUUCUGUCUUCACAAACAGAAUCACUUUACCUCAUUGGUCCCAGUAUUUUAGGAAGACUUUUUUUUUUGCUGACACAAUGGAGAGGGAAAAUACAGAUCUACACAUAACCAGGAACUUUUCAAAGAGCCACCUCCUGGUGGGCCUGGCUAUCUUGCAGUGGAUUACCUAAGAAACAAGAAAGCAAGAAGUGGAUCCCUGCAUGCUCUCAUUGUACCACACCUGGUCAGACAGCUCAGGGAAGUGCAGUGAGACAGAGCCUCAGGUACAGACCAGGCAAUAGCUCCCAGGGCUGGCAAGUCCUCCUGGUACAUGAGAAGGGAGGAGUUGAGCUGAGCUGGGAGGAGUUGGGAUUGACUGGUUUUGCCUUUUCCACAACGUUGUUUGUAAAUCGUCCUCUGUCUGGUCCGUGAGAUCUUUAUCUCAGGGAGCAAACACUGAACAUGGCAGAUCCAUGCCUGUUUAUGUGUAUAUAUCUGCAUAUGUAGACAGAUGAGGAACAUCUUCUUUGGUAUGUCAAAUUGCUCAUGGAAAUGCUUGGUAGCAGUGAAAGUUUGAAAAUAUUAAACGUUUGAGUGGAAUUAUAGAUGGCAGUGAGGGAGGUAUUAAAAGUGACACAAGGAAUCACACUCGUUUGAGCACUCAGGAGGUGCCAUCAUUAUUUUACUGAAGGUCUAGUGAUGGAACUGUCUGUCUGGUGAGUGCUUUCUUCCUUGUUCACAGAUGACACAUUCUCUCUGAGUCCUCAAGUGGGGCCAGGCAGCUCUCAGGGGCAUCGUUCCCCUAUUCACGAGGGUUCCGCACUCUAAACCAGUCAUCUUCCCCAAAGUCCUCACAUGCACUAGGGUUUGACAUGACUUUUCAGUCAACACUGACCCUUAGAACACUGUGAGCACAGAGUGCUUUGCAAGGUUGGUAAAGCCACUCGAGUCAGAUCUCCAAGCUCACAAGCCUUUGCUGUUGCCACUGCAUAGCAAUGAAAUAGUUUUCACCUUACAUCUCAUAUUAUAUAAGUUCCCUAAAAUAUUUUGUAUCUUAGAAACGCUACAUAUCUUAGACCUCCUCAGUCACUCUGUCAAAAAAAAAAUCAGAGUGUAACUCUAACAACGCCGAGUGCUUUCUUAAGAAUUGGCAUUCAUAGAGUCCAUAACUCCCGAAACUGUUUGAAUUGCCACCAUUGGGUUUAGGUAUACUUUCUUUUGGAGCAGAAAUAUUUACACUUUUUUUUUUGGUAAAGAGCCAGACAGCACAUAUUUCAGAUCCUGUAGACUAAGUCUACUUUUGCAGUGUAAGCCACAGUUGGUGUGUGGACAAUGAACUUUGCUGUGUCUCAUUGAAACUGUUUACCAAAGUAGGUGGGUUUUGGGGUUGACCCCUGGCUGCAUUUUUGCCUGUUACUGGCUCCUGAUAAUUAGCAGUUAACUUCAGAAAACAGGGGGAAUAUGGACAAUUCCUGCUUAUUUCUUUAAUGCCCGAUAAUGCACAAGUUACAGGGCGGCUCAUUUUUGUACAUAGUGAGUGGUGAACGGUGGACAGAGCUGGUAAGGCAUUCCUAAUGGAGCAAACAGCUCACACAUGGGGUUUCAACACAAGGCAAGUUUAUGAUUUAAGAUGGGAAGGUAGCUUUAGAAGCUGUCUUCUGCUCUGGCAGGCACUCCCCUUUCACCGCUUUGGCUUCUCCUUCUUGGAUCCAUGGAGACGGAGAAAGACAACUCCCAAGGGAAGAAUGAAGGAGAGAGGUGAGCGUUGAGUAAUGCAGACUCAAGUGCUCUGCCAGGACUUCUGCAAGUGUUGGGCCCUUAGUCCUCACACCUGUGGGCAUCAUUGCCUGCAUCUGCCUAAAAGCCUUUGGCACAGGUGCUGGAUCCUGGGCCUGCUCCCAUGGCUAUGUUUCUGGGGUCACUGGAGGCCGAGUUUCCACAUUCUUGCCCAAAGCCAGCUCUGGGCUGGGCAUCUGAUGAGCUGAGUGCUUUUGAUCUCUGUGCCUGGCUGAGCAUCCCUGGCCAUGGCGCUUUCAACUUUCCAGCUCUUGUAUUGGUCCACAAGGGAUGCUGUUUUCAUCAUUGCGGGGAUGAGCCUAGUAGAGGCUCAGCACCAAACCCAGUCACCUUCCUGCUGUCAGGCAACUGUCAUCACCUCUACCUCCCACCCCAGGCCUUCUCUCCCCAGCCUGUCAGGAGGCUGGCCAGCUCCUUGGGAAGGUGAGAGAGGAAAUUGGGAGGCUAGAGGGACUGGAGAGAGCCACCAUUGCCUCUCUCGCUCUGCAUCUAAUGGAAACAACACUCCUCUGGCACAGGAAAGCUGGCUGCAGCCUAGGCUCAGCUGCACAUCCUCAUGGGGUACUGCAUAAGUGUCAUUUCCCUCCCUGCCCCUCCGGUGGCUCUAUCCCCAUCAGAAUUCUUAUGGUGGCUCCUCUCACCUGUGUAAGGGAGAGAUGUUCUUGCUGCCAUUACUACCUCGUGGUGUAGUUAUUAAGGCCACUUGAGUUAUUAAGUACCCCUUGAGAGCAACCUCUUCCUCCCUCAAAGAAGCAAAGCAGAGUCCAGGGCUUGUCUGCUUGUGGAACUCUGAAUUCCAGAGCUUCUGAAAUCACAGACUUCUGGGGUCACCCUUGGAGUUUCUACUUUGAUUAUCUGGGGUAGGUCUGGAGAUGUUGCACUAAAAAUAUUAGUCUAUAUUAAAUAAUCCUCUAAAAGAAAUUCUGCUAUGUGAUUGUACGGUAGGGUGACUACAGAGAAACAAUGAUGUAUUGUUGUGUAUUUCGGAUUUAGCAAAAAGGAUUUUGAAUGUUUUUUUUUCUGUAGACAAAUGAUACAUUUUCGAGGAGAUAAAUACAUUUCCCUUGAUUUGAACAUUACACAGUAUAUAUGUGACCGGAGUUUGAUCCCUGGGACCUUCAUGUUAGAAGAAGAGAACCAGCUCUUAUAAGGUGUCUUCUAAACUUCACAGACACACUGUGUGCAUGUUCAUGUGUGUGCACAAAAAUAAGUUAAGGUAAAAAAUUAAGUUAAAAGUUAAAGACAUUUGAUUUUAUUGAGGUAUAAUUGAUAUUUUAAAAUGCUCUGCAGUAUUUAAAGUGAUGAUUUGGAUCUAUGCACAUAGAUAUGACAUUACCACAAUCAAGGUGUUAACAGAAGCAUGUAUAUUGGAAUGAUUACAUAACCCAAUCCAUCAAUCUUGAGAUUUCCCAGAGUGAGCAGUGCAGUACUGUCUGCUGGCACGGUGCUGCAAAUAAAACUUUAGUAAAUUUUUUUGUGUUACGCAACAGGAAGUGUAAGGCCACUGAACACCAACGUCACAUUUUCUCAUUCCCAGUCCUUGUCAGUCACUAUUCUCCCCUCUGUUUCACUGACUUUGGCUACUUUAGAGACCUCCGAUAAGUAGAAUCACAUAGCAUUUGCUCUCUUGGCUUAUUUCACUCAGCCCAGUGUCCUCUGGUUGGAUCCAGGGUGUUCUGAACCAUAGGCUUUAGCUCUUUUCAGCAAUAUCUUACUGUUUGCACAGCCCACAUUUUCUUUUAAAACCCACAAAGGUACUGUCAUUCUUUCUCCUCUGACAUCCAGCAGGGAGGCUUGCUAUGCAGCCCAGGCUGUUUCCAACUCUCACUCCUCCUGCCUUUGCUCCCCAAGGAUGGAGAGUCCCAGUGGACCCCACCAUAGAGGAAGUCAGUGGAGGCUGCCUGGAGUGAUGCUUUGGGCAGGAUGCUAACACUACUUCAUUCUCACGAGCUCUCUCCAGUACUAAGGCACAUACGCAUGGUCAGGUGUGGGUGAGGUGUACAUAGCAGAUGUCUGCCACUCUGACUGUGAAGACUCCAUUAUGUGCUGUUUCUGACGAAUGCUGGAUUUAUCUUUACAGUGACAUUGUGGACUUCUAUAUAAAAAGGUUUCCUAUAAAGCAUAUGCUAAUUCACAAAAUAAGGGGUUUCACUACAACAUUUCCCACACGGAUUUGUGCAGUAUUUUGGUAGUGGUGUUAGUUACUCUCCUUGUUAGUGAUAAAAUACCUAAUUAAAGCAGCUUAAGGAAGGAAGAGUGAAUUUUGGCUCAUGCUUUCAGGGUAAAGUCCGUCUUAUUGGGGAAGCCAUGGCAUAGGAACUUGAGGCAGCUGGUCAAAUCAUGUCUGUAAUCAGGAAGCAGAGAGCAAUAAGUCCUAGAGCUUGGCUUGCUUUGUCCUUUUUAAUUCAGUUCUUGACCCCUGUCCACAGAAUGGUGCUGCCCACGUUUAGGGUGUACCGUCAUACCUCAACUACACAAUCCCUCUCAGGCAUGUGGCUUCGCUAUUUAGGUGAUUCUAGAACCUGCCAAACUGACAAUAUGGCUCACUUUCACCAUCAUAUUCACUCCCAUAUUGUCCUCUGUGCUGGAUAGUUUAUGUCAACUUGACCUAAGCUGGAGACAUCUGAGAAGAGGAGACCUCAAAUAAGAGAAUACCUCUAUAAAAUCAGGUUGUAGUCAGGCUUAUAGCUAAGACAAGAUGGUACCAGGAGUGGGGCUUCUUGUGACAGAUCUGACCAUGUUCUUUUGGGGAGAAUUGUGGAAGGACUUUGAAACUUGUGCAAGAAAAGCCAUUGAGUGUGUGAUACUUGGAAGAUAGGACUAUUGAAAGCAAUGCAGAUGACAGAGACCUGGUGUGUGAAGUUUCAGAGUGAAGCAGACUUUACCUGGCCUUUUGAGGGGUGGGGGUGAAGAAUCUUUGUUGCUGGUUAGCUGGGGCUGUGAUUACCAAGAUAGCAGAACUUCUAAAGUAUAACUUUUCCUUUGUUGGGAUACUUGAGCCCACAGUUGAAAUUUGAAUUUUUAAAAGAGAUUGGCUAUUUUUUAAAGAGACUGAACUUUCAAUGUGUCUGAAUUUGUAAAGACUGCGGGAUUUUAAAAGUUAUUUAUUUUUUAAUGCGAGCUCUUGUGGAAGCGUGAUGAAAGGAAAGGUUGUGGUUUAAAGGUGAUCGUGUGUCAAGUUGACAAGGGGUCAAUUGUGCUCGGUAGUUUUAUGUCAACUUGACAGAAGCUGGAAUCAUCUAAGAGGAAGGGAUCUCAAUUAAGAAACUGCCUCCAUAAUAUUGGGUUGUAGGCAAGCCUGAAGGGCAUUUUCUUAAUUAGUGAUGGAUAGGGAAGUACCCAGCCCACUGUAUGUGAUGCCAUCCCUGGACUGGUGGUUCUGGGGUCUAUAAGAAAGCAGGCUGAGCUCCCAUGAGAAUCAAGCCAGUAAGCAGCACUCGUCCAUGGCCUCUGCAUCAGCUCCUGCCUCCAGGUUCCUGCCCUGGUUAAGUUCCUGUCCUGACUUCUUAAUUAACCCUGACACGGAAGUGUAAGUCAAAUAUACCCUUUCCUCCCCGACUUGCUUUUUUGGCCAUGGUAUUUCACUACAACCUGACCAAUACAACCUCUUUUGCCCACUUCCAAUUUUUGCUGAGCCCCUUUUACUUUGCAACUAGCUCCCCUUCUACUUCUAUGUCUUUUCUUUCUUUUUUUCUUUCUUUCUUUGAUGACUCAAUGAGUUUUAUUAGGGUUGUUUAUGAAAGCAUGGGCAAGACAUUAUUUGUAGAGACAUAGGUGAUUUACCAAUGUCUAAGCUACUGAAGAAAAUCCUUCUCCUUCCAUAAGCAGUCAUUAACUUCUUAUCAAUCAUUCUUUCUACAGAACCAAUAAUUUUUACUGCUUUAUCUUCAAAUGACACUUGACCUUGAGCAAAUGACUGAAACCACCUCCCCCAACAGUCCAGAGCUCACAAUUAGCAUAAUGGUCCUUAGAUACAAUUUUUCCUCAAUAAUAACAAUUUUCAAAUACCAGAACAUUGCCCCAAGAUAUUUAUUGGUUUCAAUGUAAUGAACACAGACAUGGUGCAGUUUAAAAUUUAAUCUGCAUUACUAAAUUUCAUCCAUCAUUUUCUUAAGUCUAGGCCAUCCAAAGUAAUAAACCAGGCCUCAGCUUGUGCUGUUUGCCAGUUUCCCUGGUGUAGACACCUCUGCUGGGCUGAUUAUUGCAUUAAGCCACUUAAUAGAUAGUUAAAAGAGGUGGACAGUGGCUCACCCCAUGUCUGUUUCCACCAGGCUUAUGGUAGUGUCAAAGCACAACUUACUAUAACUGAGUUACAGAGUGCUGGGUCUUGGUAUCUGCUACCUUUGUUUUCAAUAUGUCACAUCCUGAUGAAACCUGUCGUAGCAGAAAACAUCAUCAGGAAUGAAGUAUAAUAUAUUUAGUAUCCUGAAACCACCAAGCCAGAACAACUUAGCCUAGCCUACCUUAAAUGUGCCCAGAAGAUUUCCGUUAACCACAUGAGCAAAGUAUCUAAUAGGAAGCUUCUCUUAUAACACCUGCAAUUUAUUUAGCAUUUUAUAUCAAAAGCCAAAAAAAAAGGAGGAAAAAAGGAAAGAAAAAAAAAGGAAUGGUUGUCUGGGUAUGAUUUCAUAUGUCACUGGGAAGUAAAACAGUUUUAGUUAGGACAUAAUUUAUUCAUCAAUGACGAUUGUGUUUAACACAUGGCUUUCAUAAUUAAUGAGCUUUUAGUAAGUAUCUCUCAUGAGCUAUCUGCAGUAGAUUGCUGGAAUCACAAUAGUCCAAUAAAGGUAGUGCUUACAAGCUCUACACAUGUGUUUGUGUAUGUAAAUGUAUAUGUGAAUAUAAAUGUACAUGUAAAUAUGUAUGUGUAUGUAUAUGUAUAUAUGUGUAUGUGUAGGCAUGUGGGCAAGAAUGCAUCUGCCAUGCAUGUGUGUAGUGCUCACUGGGUUUUGUGUAGUAGACGGUGUUUUGUGUAGUAGACGAGACUGUGUUUUGUGUGGUAGACUGUGUUUUGUGUAGUAGACUGUGUUUUGUGUGGUAGACUGUGUUUUGUGUGGUAGACUGUGUUUUGUGUGGUAGACUGUGUUUUGUGUAGUAGACUGUGUUUUGUGUGGUAGACUGUGUUUUGUGUGGUAGACUGUGUUUUGUGUGGUAGACUGUGUUUUGUGUGGUAGACUGUGUUUUGUGUGGUAGACUAUGUUUUGUGUGGUAGACUGUGUUUUGUGUAGUAGACUUUGUUUUGUGUUGUAGACUGUAUUUUGUGUAGUAAACAUUGAGGCCAGACCACUGUGUGGCUUUUCUUUAAGGCUCACCCUGCAGCCAACAUGAAUUCACUGUUACCCAAACUUCCUGUAACAGAGUGGGAAUGAUUGAUUCUUCUGAAGAGGUUCUAGUCAGUGGAACAGUGAAUGGACAUAGUCAUUGAAGCAAAUAUCCUUUUAUUAAAAAUAGACUCUUUUCUCAUACAAUAUAUCCUGAUUAUAGUUUCCCUUCCCUCUGCUCCCCGCAGUUCCUCACUAUGUCCCUUCCCAUCCAGAUCCACUUCCUUUCUGACUCUCACUAGACAAGAACAGGCUUCUAAGAGAUAACAACCAAACAUAACAAGAUAAAAUAUCGUAAGAUAAAACAAAGUCCAUCACAUAGACAUUGGAGAAGACAAAAGAAGGAAAAGAGCCCCAAGAAGAGGCACUUACAUCAGAGAUCCACUUGUUCACACACUCAGGAGUCCCACAAAACUACUAGACUGAAAGCAUGUGUUUCUCCAGACAGAAGAAUUGUUUCCUGGAAUAGAAUGCUCUGGGGUUAGGGAAGCCAUAUGGGACUUCAAACAGGCAGCUCAUCUUGUGCACAAGUUGAAAGAGAGAUGGGGACUGUGUGAAAUGAGUAAGAUGAAGUGGAAAACUGGUUUCUUUGGAAAGUCAGUUAUGUCAAACGAUGCUUUGCCAGGGCACACAGGUGAAAGGAUGUUUUGCUAAAGCAGACCUGUGAAUGGAUGCAUGUUCUGUGGGGGCCUGGCUGUUUCUGCUGGGUCACGCCAUCGCUGCUGAUUCCUGUUUUCUAUCCUGACACUACUGAAUUGCAAUGCUGGUUAUAUCCUGACAGACAACACAGAUUGGAUUUGCUCCAAAGGACUAUUUCUAAACAGGUCCACUUCCUCCGUAUCCUAAUAACCUUUCUUUCCCACUACCUCUGGUGGGUGGUGAGCUAGAAGGGAGGUUAAAGGAUUUAAGAAUCCUUAUUAAAAGUAGAUUUUUGAUGGGGUUGGGGAUUUGGCUCAGUUGUAGAGCGCUUGCCUAGCAAGCGCAAGGCCCUGGGUUCGGUCCCCAGCUCCAAAAAAAAAAAAAAAGAAUAGGAAAAAAAAAGUAGAUUUUUGGAAAAACUCAAAGUCUACUGUAAGGCAGCAGCGUUCUGGAAAGCUCUGUGACUUCAGGCUAUAACUUACUCAAAGAGGGGGUGAUAAGAUGUUUCUGAGUAUUUUAAGUCUCAGGAUUCAAAACAUGGGAAUCCUACUUGGGUGAGGAUCCUCCAUGGAUAGGGGAGUCUAAGAAGGGCUGACCUUUUUGAAGGGUAUUUUGUUGGUAUGAAGUAUAGCUUCCAGGGAAUCAGUUUGAGUUCUUAACUUACCAGCCACCAUUCUUCUCUAAGGAUGUCUUACCUUCAGGCCAAAGAAAGGCCCUUAAACUUAGGGUCUGCAGGGGUUCAGAGGCAUGUCCCUACAGAUGUCUAGAGAAAUGCAGUGCAAACACAGGGACCCCAGGCUAAUUUUUUCCACUGGGAAAAAAGAAAGAAGAACAAAGGACAUUGGGUUGGCAGUGGGCAAGUAUUGCUGCAGAAUUUUGAAUGCACUUCUUCAGAGGUGAAAGGGAGAAAGUUUGAAUAGAACCAGAUGUGUUUUAUCUGUUCCAGAGUAAUGACUGGUUCCUCGGGUUCAGUCAGGGUCAUGGGUGAAGGAGAGAAUGCCAGGCUUCCUGUGCACUGGCUGUUCUGAUGCUCUCCUUAUCUGGAUUGACCAGAAGUUGGCCUGGAGCUAUCUGUCUGCUUUUAGCAGAGUAGGGAUGAGAACCUACAGUAUGCUUGUAGACCAUAUGAUAUGGAGACAGUCUCCUAAAUAUGCUGGUCAUAUUGCCAGAUGUUCCCACAUCAGCCUUCAACUACUCUUUAUAGUAGGUUAGUGGUCCUUAGUUCUUUGGCCUAAAGUUCCAUGAGUUGGCAUGGGGCAGAGCUGGACUCUGUGCCAAUGUCCUUUGUGCUGUGAAUGCCUGACAUAUCUGGCAUUGGCUGAGCAUGAAUCACAUAGGCAGUCACAACUAGCUGGACCUGGGUGGGGUGGCGUCUUGUUCCCAGCCUAUCCCUGGUGGCUCUUGGCAAAGGUUGAAAGUAUGUAACUGCAUGUAUGUGUCUCACCACCCUCAGAGUGGGCAUUUUAAAAAAUGCUUUCUACAUCACAGAGCAGUUAGAUAAUUUUUUUUCCUGAGUUUUCAUAGAUUAUCAUUUCCAGUCAGGGCUAUGCAAAUUAUAAGCUGGUAAUCUCAUUGUGUGGUACACCUUCCCCUUGUCUAGUCCUGGUGCUGGUGAACUUGUCUCCCUGCUGAGGAGAGUGAGCCAGGUAUGGAUGGCGGAGAUAGAACUGUACUGUGGGUGCUUGCCUCACUGUGGCAUUGAAAGAGAAGCUGCAGGUCAGAUCAGGCUCCAGCCCUGUGGCAAAUGGACAGCUCUGCUCUGUCUACUUGAAAAUUUCCCAUUAAGAUUUCAUUCCUUUUUAGUUCUUUCUUUUAAACAUUAUUUUAUUUAUUUACAUUCCAGCUAUUGCUCUUUUGGGCCCCCCAUCCCACAGUUACUCAUCCUAUUCCUCCUCCCCUUUGCCUCUGACAGAGUGCUCCCCUAUCACUAGUCCUCCCCACUAUCCUCUCCAGGAAGUUCUCUGCUGUAUAUGUGCCAGGAGCCUUGGACCAAACUGUGUAUGCUGCCUGGUUGGUGGCUCAGUCUCUGGACGUUCCCUGGGGUCCGGGUUAGUUGAGGCUGCUGGUUCAUUCCUUUUCUAAAUAGAGGACUUCUCCUACUUAAAGGAACAGUGGUAUUCAAAGGUUCCUUUGGUUUUGAAAAAUUUACAUUUAAUUCUUUAAAGUUGCAUCAAAGGUUCAAUAGACCAAUCUUCUGUGUUGGGGUAAAUACUUGGGGGGCAUUUAUAGGAAUUUCUCUAAACUUAAUAAACCUUUGUAUUGAUUUUUUUGUGAGUUAUACAUCUUGCAUCCCUGUCCCUCUUAUCUUCCUGUCUUGUGUCCUCCCUCUGCUUUUACAACCUCCCCACCAAAAGAAAACGAAAAGAAACAAAAUAAAGAAAACAUCUCAUUGUGGAAGCUGUAUUGUGUCAUAGCGUGUCACAGUGUGUCAUAGAGUGUCACAAUGUGUCACAGUAUGUCAUAGAGUGUCACAGUGUGUCACAGUAUACCCCUUUGCCCAAACGGCUUUACUUGGAAAUGAUCACUGCAGGGAGUCACUGGUCUGGUUUGAGGCCUCUGGCUUGUGCUCCACCAUUGAUACUGGAUCCUCACCAGGACUUCUCUCAGUUACCUUGUUGUUGCCCAGUGUCAUGGAGAUCCUACAGCUUUGGGUCAGCAGGACUGGCCCUUUCCCACACUCUAGCAGUCCAUAGAUGAGGUAGAUUUUGGGGUGGGCCACCUCAAAGCCCUGGAUCUGGGCCCGGGUGGUAGCUAGGUUGGUCAGCCUGUCAGCUCUCCCACACUCUGCCACCAGGUGAGCUCUUCUGCACUGCUCACUCAGUGCUGCAGCUGGCUGGAGGCAGGCAGGGUCAGUUUUCCUGUUCUCAUGCAUUGAGGCCUGGCUCAUCCACAUCCCCACCACCAGAGCCAGCUCUAUCGAGCUGCCCAGUUAGGGUGUGGGGCCCACUCUUCAAGUGCUGCAACAGGUGAGGGGGUAGAGACAGCUCUCCUACUCUCACGACUCCGAGGCCAACUGUCCCGACUACCACAUGUGGCAAUGGGUGAAGUGGGGAAUCACCCCUGUGCCUAUUCCACUGUCAGCAGAUGAUAGGCAGGGCCAGCCUACCCACACCCUUGCCAUCAGGGCCAACUCUACUGUGCUGCCCAGGCGAGAUGCAGCCCCACUCUCCCAAUUCUUGCAGCAGCUGAAGGUCAGAGACAGCUCUGCACGAGCUUUGGACAUCUAUGUGGUCCCAGGUGGUUGCCCAGACCGGGGACAUCCACAAGGUCUUUAGUGUUAAUAGGAGCUAGGGACAUCAACACAGACCCCUGCUGCUGUAUGGCCACAGACUCAGACAUGGCCCCCAGCAGCAUGAUCCCUCUCUACCCUCCUGUCUCCUCUCUUCACAAUGCUCAAACUGUUCUGUUUCCCUUCCUUUUUCAUUUGUCCAGCACAUAUGUGCACAUCAUGGUGGUUCUUGCUGUGGGCAGGGCCUCUGUGCAUCAUCUACAGCCCACCUGCUCUUCGUGGUCACGGGCAGCCUCUGUGUGUCCUCCACUCACCUAAGCUGCUGUGUGGCAUUGCAGCAGGUGGCAGCUGUGUCUCUGGGUGUUUUCUCCAAGCCUGCUCAGAGUGCUCUGAGAACAUCUGGGUGUUUGGGUGUCCUCUGCCUGCCCGUGCUGCGUGGUGUGGCAACCUCUGUGUGAAAUUUCUCUAAACUUCCAAAGCUGUAUUUGUAAGUUGAAUAUUUUAUCUUAUUUUAAAGCUUUAACAACAUCAUGCUUCCAGCUUAUUAAAUAACUCAUAAAUAACAUAAAUAAACUUACACAUGUAACGAUUAAUCAACUGUUAUGACUGUAUAUAAACCUGGGAAAGUUCCCAUUAAAUACAUACACGGGAAUCUCAACCAAGCACUUUUAGGCAAACACCCUGCCACGGAGCUAGUCCAGUCCUCUGACCAUGUGUUUCUAAUAAGAAUUUUCAAUGCAGGUAUAUUUUAUUAUACUCAAAGUUCUCUUAAAUAUUAUAAAUAUCCUUGCUACUGACUGUAUAGGUUAUUAAUGCAUACAUAGUUAUAGUUAUACUCUUUUUUUUCUGCUAGGCAUUUUAUUAUUAAUUCUAAAUAUUCCCAGAGUUAAGAUCAGACUGCCAUCUCAUGCAAUUUAGAGAGAAUUCAUGAGGCAGGCCAGAAUUCUUGUCAUCCUUAUUUAAGGUCGACACUGGGAACUUCAUGCUGUCAUGAAUGUUGGUUCUUUCACACGGGUCUGCACAGCCUGGUAUGGCUACACAACUGUGGACCACCAGCACUUGUCCUUUGUGAUAGGACUGGCCGUGUGGAGAAGGUCAAGAACUAAGGGCAUCCCUUCUUGUUUAUUUCUAUCCAUUGAGCCUUAUUUAGUAUGGUCAUGGAAUUGUUCCUCUAUUUGAGGCUGCUACGUGACUUGAUUUUACUUUUCUUUGCCUAGGCUAUAUUAAUUUCUUUUCCAUGUAGCUCCAGUGACCUUUGACCUUGAUGGAAUUCUAUCUUCUUUCCGCAUUCUUCCCGACCAGUAUAGGACCACACAGCUCAGACAGUUAUUAAAAUGAUAUCCAGUUGCAUACUGCAAACCUCACAGCUUCUAAGGGAAAGCUCCUGACAAUUUUACAAAGGCCUCUAUUGUUUAAAAAUAUGUUUUUAAACAUAACACUGUCUGGUGGAAUCUUCAAGCCUCAGAAGACAGAACAAAUAUUUGGGGGGGCACCUGCUAGGAGCCAAGUGCUUUGUGUACAUUGUUUCAUUUUGUUCUCCAACACUCUGUCAAAGUGUUUAUUUUAACACCCCCAAUUCAAAUGAGGAAGCUGGGGCCACAUGGCACACAAAUGGUGGAGCUGGGACUAGAUUUUGGAAUAGUCUUCAAAAGGCAUACUCCACCAUUGUGCCAAGGUUUUUAUCACCAGACUCUUCAAUCUCCUAAUUUCUUUACUGUGACCACCGUAACUUCCUAUUGUCAACCCGGUCUUUCCAGGGGACAACCAGGCUCAAAAGUUGUUACUUUGGCUCCUUCCUCUCAUAUUCCUUAAGCCACCAAAAGACUGGUUAUGAUUUCCGGAGAUUUUCACGAUGGUAGCAUAUCCAGGGCAAGCCACAGCCUUGGGUUGAUAUUGCACACUCACCUGAGGGUGGCAAAGCUCAUGUCUUCCCUGAUCAGAUCAUCAUGCCGUCUCUCUCUCUGGGAAGUGCUUUAAUGAUGUCAUUCUCUGUCCCCCUCUCUGCCUGUUCUUCCCUCUGCUAAUGUCAUGUCCACUUGGUGUGUAGUCCUAGUGUGGGUCAGAACAUGCACUCUUUUUGUUAAAAGGCUGGGAACUGUGGAAUGUCUGGGCUAAAGGUUGGCCAAGGGGGUGAAUUUUCUUUGCAGUGUAAUGCAGGACAGGGCCAUAGCUCUUUUUUUCCUCUAGUGAUCAAGCUAAUGUUUAAAGCAUAUCUGAUGUGAAAACCCAGUGUUACUCACAGGGGUUGGAGUCAGACCAAAAAAGUGUUGGGGCUGGGGUCCACUCUGAUUUCUAUCUUGUAUGGGGAAUUUGGGUCAAAAUAUUGAUUUUAUCCACUUGGGCUAUUAUAAAGUAUCUUAUAGAUUCAUUAAUUACAAACAACAUCAACCCAUGUCUUAUAGUUCUAGAGACUGAGAAAUCCAGUCAGUAUUACAGUUACCACCAUAUUGGAUAUCUACAAAUUCAAUAUCUAGUCGGGGCAUUAGUCUUUAUGUCGUGGUCUGUGCCUCUCUCUGCAUCUUGGAACAGGUAAACAGCUCUUAGGACCUGUCAUCUCUCAAGGACCCCACCUUUUGUUUUUGUGAGCCACUACAUGGGAACUGGGAAUUGAACUCAUGACCUCUGGAAGAGCAGCCAUGACCACUGAGCCAUCUCUCCAGCCCCCCACCUUUUGUUUUUAAAAUGACAUGUCUUUUAAAUCUAUUGAUUAUUUUUAUUUAAAAUAUAUUUGCUCAUAUUCAUAACCCCCUGCUUUCCCUUCUAACCCUUCUUGGAGCCUCGAUCCACUUCCAACUUUAUGUCCCCAUGUCCUUUAAAAUCCAUCAGUAUCAGAUUGUAUUUUGCAUGAGUGUGGAAGUCCCACAUUUUAGUACUACCCCUCUGGGAGGUAGGUUUCAAUACAUGAACUUUGGGGAGGGGCAUAAACAUUCAAAUGAGGGUAACUGCGAAUUAAGGUAUUUUCCCAACAGAAUUUUUAUUUUAUACUCUAUAAAAAGUCUUUCACACUUACUUUGAGAUUAAAAAAAUUUAAAGCUCGGGGAUGGAGAGAUAGACCUCUGAGAGAGGACCCAGGUUUGGUUCCAUAAUGGUGGUUCCGGGGGAUCUGACACCUUCUUCUGGACUCUACGGGCACCAGGCAUGCAUAUGGUGCACAGGCAUACAUGGAGAAAGAACACUCAUAUGUGAAGAAUAAAGUAAGUAAAUUUAAAAAGUUAUAAAUCACAGAUCAUUCUUGUACACACAUUGAAUAGGAAAAUUAUGAGUGAAGUAGAUUGGAAAAGCUACUUCUGGAAUGUUCUCAAAUUUAGAGACCUGCUUUUCUAGAUUAUGUUUCAAGUUAGACUUAAAAACUACAUUUUCUCAUUUAACCUGGUCUUGGGUGCUCCAUAAAUAAUGGUAUGUUACUGAUACUACAACUGGGAGGUACCCAGGAAUGACUAAGCCCCACCCCACUAAUCACGGUCCGAUCUAGUUUCUAAACUUGCUUAGGCACAAUAUUUGGGUAGGAGUUGUUGACAGCUCUGAUCAAAGUGCUCAGCACCCCUUUGAUGGAUGUCUAAAUCUAGACUUACAUGGGCUUUGAGUCUCAGUUUGAGACCACCUCUCUCAUGUGGUGGGAUGUAUGGGGACCUGGAGAUACCCGUGAUACAGAGAUGUCCAUUUUGAUCUAGGAGAUGCUACCUUACCGGAACAUGAAACCCUGCUUUUUUUCUGGUUUGUUCAUCAAAGGGUGAGCUUGGAGCACUGUAUGUAGCCACAGACCAUUGGACUCGAUUCAUCCUUUGGGCUGGCAUGGAUGUCAGUCACAUAGCCAAGGUCAACAGCUUGAGUAUCAAUUAUGAGGCUGGGUCAGAUAGCCAAAAGGACACAGUUGAAAGGGACUCAGAGAAAAGGUGGAGUACCACUGUUCUCUGGGAGAGAAAGGUAGCCAGCAUUAGUGGCUACAUGUGUCUUGCAGACAAAAGAGCAUUUGGUGAGAUGAUUCACUCCCUUCUCCCGACCACACCUUCUCUUAUCUUCAUAGGAUGCUGAGCAGACAGAGGCAUUUAAACCUGCUGCCAUGGGACCAGUUUCUCUCAUUGAUACUCAGUGUUCUCUCUUCAUUUUGGGAACCAGACAGGGAAGUGGAACUAGAUAGAUAUUAAUGUUGGGAAGAAAUCUUUCCCCUCAACUCAAGAAAGGAAUUAAAGUUCAUGUUGCUAAGUGGCCUUGGGUAACCUUGGCUAAGUUUCUUGCUAAGUUCUGAGGAACAGCUGUUGAGAAAAUACAACAAGCUUAGGGUGAGCCUUGCCAUCUGUGAGCCAAGCAAAUGAAAUGGCCUGGGGAAUUUUAUAAGGCCAAAGAGAUAUGAAUUUGAAGUCAUGCUUCAAAGUGGACAUGACCAUGGGUUCUGGAGACACAGCUAUCUGGGCAUUCUGAUUGGCUUUGUUACUUAUUCUGGAAUUCUGGGGACUUAGCUUUCUCUGACCCUCAGUUCCAAUCCCUAUAAAUGUAUAAUAACAAUAUUCACCUCUCAUGGUUGACUAAGAAGUGUUUGGAUUGAGGGAGGUUUUCAGCCUAGGACCUAGAGGUUCUUAAUCACAUAAUCAAUGAUAUUUCUUAUUAUUGCUGGGAGAAGGAAAGAGAAGAAACAGAUUACUCAGCACAAAACAGACAUUUACCAUAGAAAUUAUUAUUUUAUUCUACUGCCUUUCUCCCAUGGCACAUUUUUAAUAAUACCUAUUAAUUAUGUAAUGCCUACAGUUAGAUAUCUUUCCCAAGAUGAUAUAAGAAAGAACCCACCAAUGGGGUGUGUGUGUGUGUAUACAUGGAAUCAAGUCAGAGAGUAAGGAUAAUUUUAUUAAUUCUUUGGACAUACUGUGAUAGUCCUACAAGCAGGUGAAAUGUAUUACUGUGAUGGUCCAUUUUUUCCAAUUGUCUGGAUUAACAUGUAAGUUAAUAUAUGUUGUUAUAUAUCAAUAUAUUGUUAAUAUGUAUUGUUAUUAUUCUUUGAGAUCUACAAAGGUUGCCAACUUCUUCUUAGAUUGAACUUGAACCAAUAAUGACAAAAAUAUUAUGGUUCUGCCAACAGCAAAAGCAACUGAAUGGAGGUUUCUGUCUAGACCCUGUGGUUUCUACUUGGUUACUAGCCCAUCUGCUAAGGAGAGUGUUCUGGAACUCUAUUAAACCCAUGCCAUUAAGAUGCUGGCAAUACAGUUGUGGGAGCAGGAGAUCAUGCUAGGGGAAAGAACACAAUGAGAGUUUCUUCCAUGCCAAAAAGCCCAUCUUUCCUGGGUAAACAGAACUUUCUUCUGAGGCCAGUGAGGGAAUCUGGAAAUCUACAGUGGGACUUCCACUACAGUUAAAUUCCAGUUUGAUCCAGAGGGAUGAGUCUAUUGAGACUAGAUGAGAGACUUGUGUACCUUAUUUGGAACUUCUGCUAUUUGGAAGUUCUGUUCCAAACUUCUAUUGUUCAUCCCAGAACCCACACAAAUAGCAUUAGAAAAUUCUCAGCAAUCUGGGGUGAUCAAGAAGGCAUGAGCAUGAGCUCAGAAAAUCACAGGGAAAAACUUCAGAGAUGAGCCAAUGUCCUGGUCCCAAUACUUUUUCUACAAAAGAAAUCUAAGAAACACUGAGAUUUUCUGACUGUUGGUUUAGUUCUCUUGUCAGGUCAUAACCUAGUCAUGGGUUGCUGGUAUAUGCAAGAGUAUGAAAGAUCCUUUCUACUACAGCAUGAAGCUGACUGUGAUUAGACCAAUAAAACACAUAUAUAUACACAGCAAUAAUAGUGUCUGAAGCAUAUGUAACAUGUACCAUGGGUGUGAUGGAAGUUGGAGCAGAAGGAGUGGCCUUUUCUUCCUUGAUGGGACAACAAAGCUUUAUACAGAAGGUGGGUUUUCAGCAGCUCCAUGGAAGAUAUGUGUGGUUUGAAUAGGAAGAAUGGAAGGCCACUGUAGUUUAAAUGAUGUGUUUAUAAGAGCAAAGUCAGGCAAGUAAGAGGCCUAUUUGUGAGUCAGUGACAUAGGUACAUAUUAUGCGAUCAUACAGUGUUAGCAUUGGAAGAGGCUGCAAGAGGUGGUAGUCUCAACUUCCUCAUUUUAUUGUGAGAAUAAUGUUACUUGGCUAAGAGUGGCAGACAUAUCUAGACACUUAGUCCAUAGCCUCUCCCCAGUGCAUCCCCUGUCCCCUCUCUAUUCUACACGACUGAACUCAGGGAGGAGUGGUAGAAUAGGAAGACCAUAGAAAAACCCUCAUGAGUGUCAAGAUGUUUGUACAUUGAAAGCCUGUCUGUCAUUGAAGUAGGGCGGUUCAGAGUAAGGCUGUACACCAAGGAGCUGAUGAUGGCAUGUAGGACCUGCGGCCUAGAUUAAAAGAGUAGAUCCAGCCAAUAUGACUCCCCUCAGACUAACUAUAAGAUAGUUGUGAGGCUUGGGCCAGGGUCUACUCAGGCAUCGCUCACCUGCAGCAGCCAUACAGAGAUCAAGUUACGCCCUUCUCUGAGUGACUCCAUGUUGUGUAGAAGUGUGGUUGUUUUCCAUUUUUACAAGCAGUUCCUGAGUUCAUUUUUAGGGUGGAGGAUGCCGAUUUGCAUGUGGGUGGACCCAUUAACACUAUUGUCUAUCUGGUACCACCCAUGUAGCACAAACUUAUAAAUGACUUAUUCCUGGGAGCAGAGUCUACACUGAGCUAUAAAUUUAUCAGGUGAGUUGAGACUGUAGGGGCACCUGGGCUUAUUAAAGUAAUUUUAUGGAAACAAGGCUCAAGAACUUUCCAGACAUACCAAACUAAGGAAAGUGUAGAAUUCUCUUAUUUGAACCCUCAUAAAGUGGUGGACACCUAGUGCUGUGGUGGCAAGUGACGUCACAGCAACCUGUCUUCUGAUACUUGAUGACUACAUCGAAGAUUGAUGUACAAAGAACUCCUGACUGUCCAGGAGGCUUCAGCUAGGCUUGGUCUCCUGCUUUUCUCAUGGCCUACUUGACUGCCCUCUGUCUAUCUAUCUGCUCACCCAUCUGGAUUUGAAUCUGCCAUUUUUGCUGUGACCCAGUUCUCCAACUUCAUGUCUUUGCGCUCAACCCCGACUCUUGCAGCCAUAGCAGGAACUUUUUCCCUAUGACUUGCUUGGUUUUCUCUUAGUUCACUUCUGACAUCCUUUUUUUUUAUUGGAUAUUUUAUUUAUUUACAUUUCAAAUGUUAUUACCUUUCCUGGUUUCCCCUCCGAAAAACCCCCUCUCCCCUCUCCCCUCUCCAUCCUCCUACUUCUAUGAGGGUGCUCCCUCACUCACCCAUCCAUUCUCACCUAACCACCAUGCCACUCCCCUAAACUGGGGCAUUGAGCCUUUAGAGGACCAAGGGCCUCUCAUCUCAUUGAUGCCAGAGAAGGCCAUCCUCUACUACAUAUGCAGCUGGAGCCUUGGGUCCCUCCACGCGUACUCUUUGGUUGGUGGUUUAAUCCCUGGGAGCUCUGGGGGAUCUGGUUGGCUGAUAUUGCUGUUUUUCCUAUGGGAUUGCAAACCCCUUCAACUCCUUCAGUCCCUUCCCUAACUCCUCCUUUGGGGUUUCCUUCUCAGUCCAAUGGUUGGCUGCAACCAUGUAGGUUCUUGUAUUCAUUUUGUAAAACACACACACACACACACACACACACACACACACACACACACACACACAAGUGCUGAGUGAUAUGAGACUUAUUACUAGAAAUUAAGAUCAGAGUAAAAGAACCUGCAUUCCCCUUGGCCAGAUUACCAAGGCAGGUGGGAUAAUCUGGCAAAUUGCUGCCCUUGAAACCACUACAUCUUAUGACUCUAUUGUUAUUCAAUAAAUUUCAACAUUAUGGAAAGACAUGAACAUGUUAGUCUAUGUUUCUCACAUAGUACCCUGAUGAAAAUCCCCUUUCCUUUGUCUAUGGAUAGUUUCAUACAUGCUGUAAAGGAAGUGGCAGGUAUUAUAGUAUGAAUAUUUGUGAACCUGCCAUCAUAACUUCCUCCGUAGACAUUUACUAAGCACCCUAAGCUACUCAGGGCUACAGGAAACAUAGCCCAUAUAAAGGACACACGCUAACUAAGAGGCUGAUCCUUUCCCUCUUCCCUGCCACACACAAGAAUCAGAUGGCUUGAGUGUAAACAAUACCAAACAUUACCUACAUGGUGUGGUAUCUCCACAUUCUCUAUGAAACUUAUAAAAGGAUACCAACUGCCUUGUGGGCCUGAACUCUUUUCAAAUGCUCCACCACAUUUUCUAUAUAUGGCUAAUAAUUUUCUAAUCCCCAGAGACAGCCUGUUUUGGUGUCUUUCUAGGACUCCAAAAUCUAAAACCUUAAAAUAACACAGAGUAGGGAUAUAGACAAGAUAGCUGAAACGAAAUGACAAGUGGCUCUGGGAGAGUAAGGACACGGCAAAGUCAAAGAUGAUGACGGAAACAGAGUUGACCAACAACUCAUGGGAAAAAACCCCCAGCUUUUAUGAUUUCUUAGGACACUUUAUUUGUUUCUCUUAACUUUUGCCGCUGUUUCCCGGGGCUCUAUACUCAGUAAGUCUUUCAUUUGGCCAGAUGUUUUUGAGCACUGUGGAAGAUCUUCCAUACUCCCUCACCAAUCAAUCUGGUACUUCAGGUGUCUUUUCAGGGUCUGCCUCCCUGAACUACUCUUUGCUAGAAUUGUUGAAGGGAAUGGAGGUGAAAUCUGAACAGCUUGGUUAUUGAAAAGAAAGGAAGCCGAUUGUCUGGGAGGGUGUUGAAAAGUCAGCAAGAUUUGAAAUAGGAGGGGGAUCAAAGUGUCUUGGGAAGAGAGAAGGCGGACCUGUGCACACAGAAGCUAGUGGCUUUUGGGAGAAGACAAGGUCUCACUGUAAUGGUAACAAAGGGCCUCUUUUGUCCAUUCACAGGCAUAGGCCUCAAGAGAUGAACAGCCUUGGCCCUAGGGUUGGCCAGGGUGGCUCUAGGCUGGGCCCCAGAGGGAGUUCAGAGUCCUAGAAUUAACCAUCAGAAUUGUGAGGACGUGAGGAAGUGGGGGAUGAUGAAGAAGAACCCCAUACAGUGUCUGCACACCAUUAACAAUUGUAACAAUGUCAUCCCAUGGAAUCCCGUUGUCUAUUUUUAUAGACAGAUUAAGUCUUACCAUAAAUGAGAAUUUUUAGGGCAAAAACUGGGCUUCAGUAACCCCAACAGUUUAGGGUCAGUUAUUAAUCUCAAUAUGUCAAUUAAAGAGAUAACUGCUUGUGAGAAGCAGAGGAGGGAGAUCAUUCAGUGCAGCCACACUGGGCAACGGAACAGAUAAAGAGGUUUAAUAAUCCCAUGUGUGUCUUCAGGGUACUGAUAAAGACUUAUGUCUAAACAGAGGAAGAACUGGGGCAGUGUGCAAGAGGUUAAGUAGUUUGGUCAAGUUGUGGUCCUGCUCAUUAUGGUCUCAGCUCCUGCAAAGCGGUCUGCUAAGUUGUUUCUCACAGCCAGAGGAGUCUUUGGUUUCUACAAGAUGAUCUGCUUCAAGGGAAAGCUGCUCAUCACAUUGCUCUCAUCUUAAGGAUGCUCUACCUUCCAGGCUCACUGGUACUUGGUGGUAGUCUGAGUCUCAUUUUGUAUAAAUAUGCAACCCAUUGUUUCUGUAAUUCAAGGUGACUCAGGAAGAAAGGGUAAGGACAAUAACCUAAGUUUUCUUUUUUGCCUUUAGCCUUGAGAUGGGGGACUCAAACUUGGCCAGUGACCAACAUGCUCAUGCAGAAGCAAGUACAAAUCUAGGUCAAAGUAAAGAAUGCAGGCAUAAAAUGAAAGUAGAAAGGCUAGACCUGUAUCUUGCUUUUAUAGUUUCUAUGGGUCUGUGGGAGGAGCAAGUGUUCUCUAGCAGAAGCAGCUUCUAAGUAUCUGUUACGACUACCAACUAGACUCUUAAGCUAAUGUGACAGAUACAUUCAAUCACAUGGACCAAUCAGUAGCUUGUCCAUACCUGUUCUAGGAAGUGUUCUCAAGUAUAGACAGAGCAUGAUGAUUCUCUACAUACAAGUUUCAAGUUUGGAGCCUGGGAAGAUGGCUUGGAAGUUAAGAGCAUUGGCUGCUCUUCUACAGGACCUAGUUUGGUUCUAAACACUCAUAUGGCUGCUUACAGCACUCUGCAAUAUACAUAAGGGUUUCUACAGGUUUUCAAUCAUCUCUAGAUGACAUAUAAUACCUAAUAUGACAAUAAGCAUGUAGAAAUUUCUUUCACCAAAAGGCAAGGACUCCUUACCUGGGUUCCUGUAGCUAACAGCAGGAGGAAAGCCUGUAAGAUGUCUUCAUUUCAUGUCUGCCUCCUUUACUUCAGGUCAGACUCCUAUUCCUCUCUGAAGGGGUGUGUCCGUCAUUCAUGUCAUGUCUUCCUAUCUAGAACCUUUUCAAGGCUGAAGGCACAGAGGCACAUCAUUGUCGUAAGCCUGCAGUCAUCUUAGAUCCUAAAAACGAGCAAACCCUCUGAGAAUAAUUAUUGCUGACACACAGCUACAUCCCAGAGUAAAAGCAAUCACCUAUUAGGACCUGAUUGGUACCCUCAAUCAGACUUCUUCAGACAGCCACAAAGAGAAGGAACUAAGACAAUGAUCGACCAGACUAGUCUCAACCAGGCUUAGGGGUGCAGACCUUCUGGGUUUUGCCCAAGUUCUGCUUCUAAUGAAAGCUGAAGCUCAUAUCAGUUCCCUGCAGUCAAACGUGUGUGUGUGUGUGUGUGUGUGUGUGUGUGUGUGUGUGUGUGUGUGUGUGAAUGGAUUGAUUAAAUUUCCUCUCUCUGCCGUUUAAUCAUUACUUUUUAGUGUGCUGGCAUGGGAAACUGAACCUAGCCUGUUCGAGUGGCUAGAUGUAGGGCUUUUGCCUGGAAGAGUUCCUGUUGUAACACGAUAUAAAUACUAAAUCAAAAGUGUUAUACCAUAUGAUUUUCGGACUAAUUGGAAAAAUAUGCAUUGUCCUGCACAGGCACAAUUUAUUUCCCAAACACUUUCAAUCAAUGAUUGGUUGAAGCCUCAGAUUAAAAAACCAGUAGAUAUAGAGGCCAGGGACAUGGAGAUCUGACUAUUUUCAUGAGUAGAGUAUAAGAAACACUAUAAAAUGGAUUCUAGAAACAUGAUCAGUAAGUACAAGUCAAAUAGCUUCCUACUCACCUUCCAAAAUGCUCAAUCAAGUGUCUUCUAGAUACCUGACACAGUCUCUAAAAUUAGAGUGACUUAGGGCUCUGGAGACCUCGUUACUUUUAUCCAGUGACUAGGUAAAUCAUUGAAUUUCUGAUGACCUUUUCUUUCAUCGGCUAUAAAGGUAUGAUGUUUUCUUUGAAGUUUUACUAGAUAAUGGUACAUUUCUGGCAGAGAAGACAUAUGCCUACUGGAAUUUAUUAUUUGGGUCAACAAAUGAGACUGAUUAUAGUUUACAACUUGGUAUUUGACUCUUACUGUUGUCUCAUAGCUGUUUCCUACAUGAGAUUCUGGAAAGAGAGAAUAUAUAUGUGAUGAUUGUAGCAUUGCCACCCAUGGAGGUGGUAGUUUCAUUGGUCAGGUUUCCCAUCAUGCUCUUGUACCUGGAUACCAGAGAUGGAUGUACUUUUAAAUUUUAAUCUGUUCUAUGUGCUUAGGAAAGUCGUGUCUCUGAAAUAAAGAGUCAGUGACUUGUGCAAAUUUCAAGUUGAGCCAAGAAUUUAACCUAAGUGCCCUGGAUUCCUGCCUUAUACUUGAUGAUAAGAUGCCAUUAUGUUCCUUGUAUCUGGGCUUGGCUCUCUCUAGAGGCAAGAGGCCUUGGUGAGCUUACUUGGUUGCUCUGGUUUGAAGCACAGAGGGGGAUGUCAGUCAGUCUUCCAUGGGAAAGCUUUACAGCCUGAGUUCCUCAGAGGCCAGAGGUGAGAUCAGGUUCCUCCCUGAGACUUCAGAGAGCAUUGAGGCAACUCUAUAGGCUUGAGAGGAAAGAGACACUGAAACACUGAAGGGGAGCAGCAGAGUGAUUUAUGGGUAAACCCUGAAUGAGCAGAGCUUGUAGGCCUCAUCACAACACCAGGAAGAGUGUGGAGCUGAACAUUCUGCAAAUAUUUAAGAGGCAUGAACACCAGAGCACUCAACGAUUGAACCUGGGUGAAGGGGAGUAGAAGGGGAGUCUUGCUCAGAGCCAUGGGAGGCAGGGCCUCCUCCUUCAGGACCUGUGUCUGUUUGGGCAUCUCCCCAAGGCCAAGGCUUUAUGCACAAUAGAAUCCAAGAUGCAGAUCACAUGGGCUACAGAAACAGGCUGAGAUCACUUUUCCUGUGAGGGAAUUGGGCAGGGACAAAGGGAAAAUAAGGACAACAUGAGUAGGAACCCCAUCCUUCUCUCUCAUUUGGUUCUUGCGGUUUUAUGGGGAGCAGAGUUAACUACCUCAGUGCUGACUUGUCACCUGUUCUUGACACCGCUCCUUUAACGCCUCCAUGUUGACUAAAUGUGUCAACCAUGGUCCAGGCUAGCUUGUCUCAAACUCACGUGGCACACGCUGUCAUUGUGCUUUUUCAUCAUCGAGCAUCUUGAAAGGCCACUGUUACAGUUUGAAUGUGCAAUGUCCCACGGGUUGGACUCUUAGUUCCCACUUGGGGACUCUAUUUUAGGAGAUUACAGAAACUCUUUGGAGGUUGGGCCUCAGGAGGAAAGUGGUCUCAGGUGUGCCUUUGAAAAUUAGACAUCAAGUCCCUUUCUCAUUCUUUGCUUCUUGUCCAUCAUAGAUGAACAGCUUCCUCUUCCUGCCUCCGCUGCUGCCUUUCUGCUUAGCGCAUAGAACCAACAGCCCUGGACUGAAUUAUCUAAAUCCAUAGGAAAAGACAGAGCCUUCCUCCUUUAAGUUGUUUUGUCAGAUAUUUUGUAAUAGUCAUUAAAGCAAUUAAUGUUUUCCUCAUCUUUAUCAUCCUAGCCACUCUAUGCUCCUCUAUGGUAGAUAUAUUUUAACCUCUAUGUAUUUAUUUAGAUAUAUUUAAGUGAGAGACUUUCUCACUUGGAGGUUCAUGUGUGGCUGGCUGGCAUGCCCCAAAUUACAUCCUAAGAGUAUUGGGGCUGAAGGGGCAUGCCCUGCUUCCUUUGCAGCUCCCAUAGUGAAUUGCAAACCCUAUGUGAGCUCAGCAUUUGGGUUUAAUUAAAAAAAGCAAGAACAUCAGAAGCAAAAUGAAAAGCACAUGACCAAACAAGCAGAAAUGUGCGACAUAUGUGUAAAAGAAUGGCAUCCUGAACAGAGACAAACAGCGAAUGUUGCAAUAGAAUUGGAGAAAAACAGUGAAUUCACAAAAGUUACAUGCUUAGAAGCCUUCUGACUCACAAUAAUCACAAAUGUCUGAUAAAAAAUGAAGUAAAACUAAGCUAGCAAAAAAAUUUGUUUAGUGAGGAUAAGUGGAAAUCAACACCUCUAACAUUGUUGUUAAACACACACACACACACACACAGACACACACACACACAAAUAUAUACACUUGGGGACUUUAUUCAUGAAUGUUGUAGUCACAUGAUUUUUACCUUGUUCUCCCUCAAAUUCCUCUUAUAUCACUCUCCUUUUCAAAUCAAUGGCCUCUCCUUUAAUUAGCAUUUCUACAUUCACCUCUCCUACUGAGUCCAUUUGUCAGGGGAGUUCAAGAGAUGCCUCAGACAAUAUCAGUUAUCCCCAUUGGCCUUCGUUGCCUCCCAGAAUUUGAAUAUGACUCUCUUGCUGAAGAUACUACAUACUUCAGACACGGGGCUUGAAUGAAUGAGGAGCUGAGGGCCUCCUCCCUGAGAGCUAGCUCUUAUACUAUCCAAAGGUACUAUGCAAGCUGCUGAGGGAUAAAGGCAGUCAGUAGUCCUGCCCAGCUGUAACACCUCUCACCCUUCAAUGAAGAGCAUCCAUUUUGCAGCAGUUGGAAGCUACUGCACAUGGGAUUUUCACACAGCGUUUGAACUCAGAUCCAUUACUGGUCAAAAUGCAGAGAAUAAGUGACCAUAGGCAACCCAAUCCCAAUCAGUAUAUCCACAGUGCAACCCCUACAUCAAAGGCACAGGGAACAUUAUGCAAAAUGGGGUGAAUGUGGAAAGAUGCUGAGAGGCAGAGGACCAGGACAGGUGCUGCUAGGUAGUGUCUUCUGAACACAAGAGGGAUGCUAUACCAUGACAUUUCAAUAACAUGUUUGGGUGAGCAUGGCAUGCAUCACUCCACAUGCCAAUGUGGAUGGGGGAAAUUACACAAGGUGCUGCCUCUAAGUGGACUGCUGCAGGCCAUCAAUGGCUGCCUAGGGAAGGAGAACCAGUUUCUUCAGGGAUGAGCCUGCUGACAGUUAUUCAAUCUCAAGUGGUCAGUUUUAAAUACAGGUAAAGAUGAACUAUUGGCUUUUAAAAAAGACUUUAUAGAAAACCUUUUUCCUUCCUUCCUUCCUUCCUUCCUUCCUUCCUUCCUUCCUUCCCUCCCUUCCCUUCCUUUCUCCCUCCCUCCCUUCUCUCUGUUCCCUCCCUCCCUUUUUCACUUCCUUUCUUCCAGUACUGGUGAUUGAACCCAGGGCUCCAUGAAUGCUAUUCAAAUGUUCUAACCAUUAGAUAUAUUUCUACCUAUACCCAUUUUUCAAGGUUGUACUAAAAAUGAAAAACUUCCCAUUGUAAAUCAUUUUUCACAAUGUGGUGUUGCUAGCUGCUUCAUACAGAAUAUCCACAUUUACUUUAUGACCACACAUUUGUGUUUUUCUAAUCUUAGAGUAUAUCUUUAGGAUCAAAUUUUGUUAACAUACUAUUAUAUAUGAUUCACACUCAAAUAAUCUCCUACAAUAAAUAUAGUAUUAAUAAUAAUAAUUUCAAAUUAACCUGAUUUCUGUGGGUCAGGAAUUAAGGCAGGGCACACAGGUAGCUUGUCUGUGACUCAUGAUGUCAUAAACUUUAUCUGGAACACUAGACUAGAGUCACCUAAAGACUAACUCUCAUAGCUAGUACAGACGCAUGGCUGAUCUGUCAGCUAGAGUUCUUGCAUAUAGCCUCUCCAUUGGGCUGGGCUUUCUUCCAAUAUGGAGGAUGAAAUCUUGUGGUAAGGUGAGGAGGGUGCUGUUGCUUUAACAAAUUACCACAAGUGUAGUGGCUUUAUUCUGGGCUACUUACUCAUACAUUAUUAAUAAUAAAAAAAUCUUAAAGAACUGGGUGGAUCUGACAAAACACAGCUCAUCUCAUAGCGACUGGUUCCAAGUAUGUCCUAACUUGGUGUCUCAUGCCCAAGCAUGUCUCCACACAGACUUAACAAUAUGUCCAGAACUCUUUCUAUGCCAGAUCCUAACACCAGAAUCCCAGAGGCUUCCAUCCUGACUUUCCACUGGGGCUUGAAAAUUUUUCUGGGCUGUGUCUUUUCCCAGCAUUGACACUGAUCAGCACCCUGGGGUGUACCAGAUCAAAUGGCCUGAGUUACAUAGUGUUUUUGGCACUAUUGGUCUGGAUCUACUCACUUUUCUCCCGUGGACACCUCUAAGUCAUAGUGACCUCCCAUGCUACCUACUACAGUCAUUCCUUGUUGUCUGCAGGCCUCAGACCAAUGCAUUUAACCAAGCAUAGAUCAUUAUAUAGUUAGGUCUAUAUUAGUUGACUGUACUGACCAUGAAUUCGUUUUUCUUACAACCAUUUUCUAAACAAUAUAGUUUGAUAACUAUUUAUGUAACACCCUUAUACUAUGUUAGGUAUCAUAUGUAAUUAGCAAAGGCUUAAGGAAUAUUGAUGGGUAUGUGUUGGCUAUAAGCAAGCACUUGCCAUUUUAUGUAAGGGAACUGAACUUCUGUGGUUUUGGUAACUGGGAAGGGUCUUGGAAUCAGCCCCAUUGACAGGGAUGACUGUGGAUGUAGAAAGUUAAUAAUUAUAAUAUAGUGUAGAUGGGGUGGCAGGCAGGCUCUGAGUUUCUGACUUUAUGGUAGGGAAUAUAAGAAGUGGCUUUGGUGUGUGCUAUGGUAAAUAUAAAAAAAAAAAAGAUACACCAUCCCACACUAGUGCCGGCUCCGGUGGGCCACAUGGCAUCUGUGGGGUAUUUUCAUCUCAAUCAACAACGUCUCAACUGCUAAGCUCCCACUCUCCAUCCCACUCUGCCACCAGCUACUCUCUGAGCCUGGCAGCAGCCACUCUCUUGCAACUCUAGAAUCUAGUUCCCAAGGCAGGUCAUCACCACGCCAGCUCCAUUCAGAGUCUGCCUAUCUUGAGGCUCUCUUACUGAGGGCUUUGCUCACAUUACUGGCAUCUGCCCCCUGUGGUUCUUGUCCCAACUCCUAGUAACCUGUUAAAAUCAAAACUCAGUAAAGCUUGUAAUCUAGCAAUCAGCUUUAUAUCUUAAAUUCUCAAUCCACAAAGCGUCCACACAAUAAACUCCCAGCCAAUUGAUAAUGAUAUAAAUUGCCCAUCCAGAUAAGAAAAAUUGUCCUAUAAGAACCCAUCCCUUAUGAAAUAUUCAUAACUACCUGUUGCCAUUUAAGGCCACACGGAUCUGGGUCAUCCUUCUCUGUCUCCAUCUUGGUUCUCCUUUUUCUUUUCCUCUCUCCUCCCUUACAAAAACUCUGUCCCCACCUUACUUUUUCACUGCAUAAUCACAGGCCUUGCCUCAUCUUGUGCCAGCCCUCGCCUGCAUAUAGACAUCAACUACAGGUCUGGAAGGGAUAUCGAGGCAUAUCUCUUACCAGAAUCUGUUGACUCUAUCCUCUUGGACCCUUCCUAAUGUUAAAUCCAGCAAUUAGCGAACAUGUCCCAAAGUCAAUUAAUGAAUAUUGUGAAGGAUUCGGGCCACCUUGAUCAGAUGUUCUUACUUUGCAGUUGCAGGAGCACUGCCCUUGCUCCUGGUGGAACAUGAAGAUGAACACUUGUACUGAUUUCAGUGUAUAUGCUCAGCGGGUCAUGCUGGGCUUUGCCGAAUUAUGCUCUAGUUAUUGGCGUAGAAAUGAGGAGACACAGAAGAGUCAGUUUCUGAUAGGCUUGUGAGGAUUAUAUUCCCUUGUGGGGGACAUGUUCCUGUUGAGUAUUCCAGGAUUAAAUACUAGCAUUCCUCUCAGGAGGGAAAGCUUAAAGGGCCAGCACCUUCCACCAGGUGGUUUCUGUCCCAUAUUUCAGACUUGAGGUUUUCCCAUCAUGGCCCUGGCUUUGAAUUAAAAAAUAAAACAAAAACAAAAACAAAAACAAAACUGCAGUAGCUGAAGAUUUAAACUUAUUCUGUAGUUCUAUGAUUCUAGUAGUUAGAUCUUCAGACCAUGGUCACUCUAGAAGUUCCAGAGGGAAGCCCCCUGGCUUUCAUGCUUAGUCAUUAUUUGUGAAAUGUCUUUAAUCUUUAAGUCCUUUAAAGCAGUCUGCCCAAUUGUGGCUAAAUGAGUCAACUGCUAUCUUUGUAGGUAUUUCUCUCUUCAUAUUUAAAAAUUUUACAGCAUUCUUCUCACCUGGGAUGCCGUCUGGGGUACCACUAAGGAAACCGUUAGCAAUUGAGCCACUGUUUUGAGACUAUCUGGACCCCAUCUAUCAACAAGGAUGGUUGGUUAGAUGAGUCACAACAAAUCCUCAAUCCCCACCUAACACUUCUUUAUUCUUGGAUAAGUCCCGGGACCCUGGGUUAACUUUGUCAUUUGAGAAGCAUAUCCAGGGAGGUUGCAGCAUAGAGAAAUACAGUGGAGAGGCUAGGAGAGCCAUCAGCCUGUAACCCAGCCAAUCUCUGCUGAGGGCUAGAGGAAAUGGCUAAGGUGGCAGCAUCUUAGACUAUACUAAAGUUGCUAGAGAAUUCCAUAUAGGAGGUGCCCAUGUCACCUAGGCCUAGGCCUCCCUGUACUCCUUGGUAAGUUGGGGUCAUUUUUCUAGGAGCUAUUAUAGGAGGUAUGCAUGACCUUGGAGUGAAAGAAUGAACAGAGUCCAUGAGAGCACACAAUAGGCAGAGGAGUGGGAAGGGACUGUUCAUGGUUUUCAUAAGAAACAUGUCUUCAAAAUUCUUGACCCUCUUUUGCUUAAGUCAGAGGCUCUCUCUAUUAGUACUAUUCUAGGACUUCUAGAAGUCUUUAAAGAGAAUCAUCUUUAAUUUGGCCUUAUCCUAGGCUUCAUCGGCAGCAAGCUGUAUUUGGUCUAGGCUAUAUUGUAUUUGGUUUAGGCUAUAUUGCCCAUCUUUUUAAAAAUACAGCAUCAUAUGCACCCCCCCCAAAAAAAACCAACUCACAUUUCCAAAAUUCUGUCCAAGUUUACAUGUUCGUCAGAUUCAUUUUCUAUCUUCUGGGUAACUAUUGGCUUGCCUAAUAAUUCACAACCGUGUGACCCAAGUUGAUAUUUUAUCUGACCUGUCUACUAAUUUCUUUGUUAUUCUUUCUAGUCUCUACACACUGUUCAGUUUCAAUUCCUAUUAUUCACUUUUAAAAAUAUCAGUUUCUGUGCCAUUUGAUUAUUGUUCUAGGAAAAGUACAUAACAAAUGGUGACUAGACCUACCUCAUGCAGCAUAGAACAUUAAUAUUUUUGCAUACAUAUAUCGUAUUUGUACGUGUGCAUGGCAUGCAUAUGCAUGCAAAUAUGUGUUCGUGUGUGUGUGUGUGUGUGUGUGUGUGUGUGGUGUGUGUAUGUGUGUGCAUAUGUCUGUGGAAGCUUGAAGUUGAUGUUGCAAUGUUCCUCAAUUGCUCUCCAUUUUCUUCUUUGAGGCAGUCUCUCAGUUGAACCCAUAGCUUAUCAAUAAGAAGACUAUCUACCAAGCUUGCUCUGGGGAUCCCCUGUAUCCACUUUCCCAGGGCUCAAAUCAUAGGAGAAUUGUAGUGAGUUUAUAUCUGAAGUCUGUGCUGCACAUUUCCUGAAACAUCCUCCCAGCCUUACUAAAAUCAACUAUCUUUCUCCUUCCUUCCCUUUGUGUUUCUUUCUCCUUCCUUUCAUCCUUCCUUCCCUCUUUCCCUCCUGCUUUCUUUUCCUUCCUUUCUCUUUCACCCAGUGCUUCCCUGGGUUAUUUGAUCCAGGAUGGAGCCAGCUGGGGAAGCUCUGUUCCAUGUGUGGCUUACCAGUCUCAUGGGACCCAACAGGCCAGCUGGAUACGUUCUUGAUGAGAUGGUGACAGGGGAGCAGGAGCAAGAGUGCAAUUGCAAGAGCAUUUCUGAAGACAUACUUUGUCAUUGGUCACAGUGAGUCUUAUGGUCAGGGGGAAAGUUAAGGGGCAAGGAUAUAUGCUUUACCCAGUGAGGAACGGGAAUAACUAUUUCAGAAGAGUCACCUCUCAAUUCUGCCAAUUUACCCUCACAACCUUUGUUGUAAACCAUGUAUUUAUUUUGUAGGUUGAGUUCACUUUCAAUGACUCUUUUUAAAUAGAAGAAAUUGAAAAUUUUCAUGAAACCAGACAGUCAAAUUUUGUAACUACAUGUGGGUUUUCUUUUGCAACUUUUCUUUUUUCUUUUUUCUUUUUUCUUUUCUCUUUGUUGUUUUGAAACAAGGUCUUACUAUGUAGCCCAGGUUGACCUCCCAUCUCUGGCUCCUUGGUGCUGGGAUUAGAGGCCUACACUAACACGCCUGCUCUUCAACUUUCUGAGUUCUCUGUGAAAUGCCACAGAUUACAGCGGAAGACAUGGUCUGUACGUCACAUGUUCCCAGGAGAAAGAAUGUCUUGCCAGUAUUUUAGCCAUGUUCCCUUUAUGUAUGUUUUGGAGGAAACCCCCAGCUUUACCUCAGCCUUGAAAACAGCUUGGUAGCCAACAGCUCUAGCCUCUCGGCUCUCUUUAUUGACUACUGACUCCGUAUCUGGAGUACGUUAAGUGCAUCAAAUGCACCAACUCAAAUCCUUGACACAAUAUGACAAGGAGGGUCUAAUUGCUUCCAGAUCUAGAAGUAUAUGAAAGGUUUGAAUUGGGGAUUAACUAUCUCACAAACCAGUACACUUACCCAUCAAGAUAUCAUCCUUUUUUGCAUUCUUUAUAUUUUUGUAUAUUUUGAAUUCUUUUUGUCUCUAUUUCCCCAUCAAAAAAUGAUACAUUUGUUGCCCGAAGAGCCCUUAAAGGCCAGUGGUAAUGAAGAAGCUGCUGACCUUAGGGAGUUUGGCUUAGAAAACUUUCUGAUCAUCUAGUGGUCUUGAAAUGUUCUGUCUUAGGCAGGGUGGAGGCUCCAUGGGAAGAAUGGCUUGCUGAGGGUUUGUUCCCAAGCUUGCAAAGAGUGCUCCCAGGCUGUCCGGGUUGGGGGAGCACUGUGGCAAAAGAAAAGCAGAAUGUCACCCUGCCAGAUGCUCCUUUCCCUCUGUCAUUUGCCAGUAAGUGCUGUGUAAGGAGACAUUGCAGUGCAGGGCAGGACAAAGGUCAUGGGAGGAGGGGUGGGGAAUGAUUCAUCUUCCAGUUAACAAAAAGCCAUGGCAGUCCCAUUCUGAGUUCUCUCAGUGGAUUCGGGACAUCCAGAUUCAAUGAUCUAAGCAGACCCCCACCCCCGCUCUGCUGUAGCAGUUUCCUCGCCACCAUCUUCCUCGCCACCAUCUGACUCCAGCAUUGUUCAGGAUGCACAGCUCUGCGUCUCUCGCUGCUUUCUAGCUCCAUUCCAUCCUGUUGUAGGGUUGGAGGCUUCUUGUUUGUAUAUCAUAGAGCUGGUCAGGUUUUAGUUAAAAAAGAAGUAAAAGAUGUGAAGGGGGCUCAGAUCAUUGUCAUUUUCUCACACUUCCAUGCCAGUGGGUAGGGCAUGGUUUUCCCUCUCCACCAUCCCCUCUCCCAACAGCUGGCCUCUAUAUCCUAGCCAGCCUCAAACUCAUUACAUAGCUGAAGGCGACUUUGAACUCCUUAUCCUAUCUCUGCUUCCUGAAUGACGGGAUUGCAGGUUUGUACCUCAUUUAUGUUCUGCUAGGGAUUGAAACCAGGGCUUCAUGUCUGUUAGUUACUCAACCAAAUGGAGCGCCAUCCCCAGUCCCUCUGGUGAGUAUUUACCUGUGUUGCAGUGAAUAAAAGCUGUGUUUAAUAACAUCUGUGCCAGUUAGAAAAUGCAGAGGUGAUUAUGAAGACGGACAUUUUACAGAAAGGAUUAGCUGAGGGGGAAGACUUCCCUUCCAAGUGGGCACCUUCCUUUGGAUGGGGCAUGGAUAAAGAGGUCUCAAGAAAGAGCAAUGUCGCCUGCCUACUUUUGCCUUUUCUUCCAAGCAAGUGUGUUUAUUGCUGCCUACUGGCGUCCUCUAUUCACAGCAGGCUCCAGACUCUACAUCCUUCUGAGUCCACUCAAUACCAGCAAUUAAGUGUCAGGUCCGAUUGCCAAGCCAUCCAGCUCUGUGAGCAGCUACUGUGUUCUCAUCCUCUCAAGUGUGCAGGAGGCCAUUGUGGGGUUUUACAGAUCACAUCACAUAAGCUGUCUUAGUUCCUGUUCUAUUGCUGUGGUCAAGCACCAUGAACAAGGCAACUGUGCUGGCCAGUUUUAUGUCAACUUGAUGCAAGCUAAAGUCAUUAGAGAGGAGGGAACCCCAAUAAAGAAAAUGCCUCUGUGGUAGUUUGAAUGAAAAUGGCCCCAUGGGUUCAUAGGACCUGGCACUGUCAGAAGGUGUGGCCUUGUUAGAGUAGGUAUGCCUUUGUUAGUGGAAGUGUAUCAGUAGGGGGUGGGCUUUGAGGUCUCAGAUGUUCAAGACCAAGUCUAGUGGCUGAUAGUCAUUCCCUGUUGCCUACCGAUCUGGAUGUAGAACUCCUAGCUACUUUUCCAGCACGAGUUCUGCCUGCAUGCUGCUAUGCUUCCUACCACGAAGAUAAUGGACUAAAUCUGAACUGCGAGCCAGACCCAGUACAUGUUUUCUUUAUGAGUUGCUAUGGUCAUGGUGUCUCUUCAAAACAAUAGAAACCUUAAGGCAGCCUCUAUAUGAUUGGGCUGUAGUCAAGCCUAUAAGGCAUUUUCUUAAUUAGUGAUCUGUGUGGGAGGUUCCAGUCUAUUGUAGGUGGUGCCACCUUUGGGCUGGUGGUCCUGGGUUCUUAAAAAAAGAGCAGGCUGAACAAGCCAUUAGGAGCAAGCCAAUAAGAUACAGCCCUCCAUGGCUUUUGUAUCAGCUCCUGUCCCCAGGUUCCUGUCUUGUUUGAGUUCCUGUCCUGACUUCCUUUGAUGAUGAACUAUGAUGUGGAGGUAUGUGCUGAAUGAACCCUUUCCUCCCCAACUUGCUUUUUGGUCAUGGUGUUUCACUACAGUAAUAGUAACCCUAACUAAGACAGCAACUUAUAGAAGAGAAUGUUUAUUUGGGAUCACUGUUUCAGAGGGAUUGAGUCCAUGGUGGUAGAGCAUAGGUGUGCUUUCAGGAGCAGGAAGCUGAAGGCUCACAUCUUGAACCACAAGCAUGAAGCAGAUAAAGUAAAAAUUGAAAUAGAGUUGAGUCUUUGGACCCUUAAAGCCUUUCUCCAAUGACAUACUUCCUCCAAUGAGACCGUACCUCCUAAACAUCCCAAACAGUACCCCAACUUCAGAGCAGGCAUUCAAAUAUCUGAGACACAGGAAGCAUUUAUUGUUCAAGCCGCCACAUAAGCCAAUUUGAUAAAUAAAUCUUUACACACAUGCACACACUCAGCACACAGACGAACAUUUUGUUAGAUCUUCCCAAGGCGAAAAAGUUCUGUCUCAGGAUAAAGGGAAGUACGGAAGCAGAGGGCAGAAGUUGGGGUAUAAGGGCAAGUAUAUUAAUCAAAGUUCUCUAGAAAAGAGAAGCCAUGGUGUUGGUGUGUGUGUGUGUGUGUGUGUGUGUGUGUGUGUGUGUGUGUGUGUGUGUGUUUGCGCACAUGCUGUAUUAUCAUCAC